GGCUUUCUGGCUGAUAUUAAAGCGUUUAUUUUGAAAAUAAAAGGAUAAGUUUUAUACAACUUAGAAAGCUU
RNAcentral lists this transfer RNA (71 nucleotides) under Pediculus humanus corporis (human body louse). RNAcentral's name for it is "tRNA tRNA-Ser". The record is from RNAcentral. Lineage: Eukaryota; Metazoa; Arthropoda; Insecta; Psocodea; Pediculidae.